GGAAGUCGCCAGUUUGCCCAUCAUAGUGGGCACACAGCAGACCAGUCGAUGGAGCCUGACGGGAAUCGGAAACUGGCUGGUAUGCAAACUGGCCAGGCAGGCGUGAGGACAAACGAAAGCGAUGUGUUUUCUUGGGAGGCCGGUAGCGGGGCAGCAAGCGUCCAGCUGGACGCGGGAAAUGUUGCAGAAAUUACAAGCGCUAUGCUGAUAAGAUGCACAAACGCGAGAGAUGUUGACGAGCGGGAAAUCAUCAACCAGUGUCUGCGACGCAUAAAGACUUGGACCGACGCCACUAAAGUGCUGUUUUUGAAAACUUUACUGGAAACGUACUUCGGAGCACAAUCAGAAAAGACCA
Molecule: long non-coding RNA, 355 nt
Organism: Paramacrobiotus metropolitanus
Lineage: Eukaryota; Metazoa; Tardigrada; Eutardigrada; Parachela; Macrobiotidae
Exons: 3
Source: RefSeq, a predicted model, not a curated record